UGCUGUGUUGAUGUUCAUGUACUUACAGUAUGAUGAUUGGCCUGAUCCCCUGACUUUUGCUGUCCACCUGAGUCCCAUACUAUGUGAGGCGUGUGUAAAUGUCCAGGAGGAGACAAUAAUCCAACUGCACUGUUCAGUGUCCUGCUGCUGAAUGAGUGUCUGUAUACUAAGUAUGCUGAUUGGCCUGAUCCCCUGACUUUUGCUGUCCACCUGAGUCCCAUACUAUGUGAGGCGUGUGUAACUGUCCAGGAGGAGACAAUAAUCCAACUGCACUCUUCAGUGUCCUGCUGCUGAAUGAGUGUGUGUAUACUAAGUAUGCUGAUUGGCCUGAUCCCCUGACUUUUGCUGUCCACCUGAGUCCCAUACUAUGUGAGGCGUGUGUAACUGUCCAGGAGGAGACAAUAAUCCAACUGCACUCUUCAGUGUCCUGCUGCUGAAUGAGUGUGUGUAUACUAAGGUGAGCUUUUAGAAGCAUCUCCUUUCUGACAUCACAAA
Molecule: long non-coding RNA, 495 nt
Organism: Engraulis encrasicolus (European anchovy)
Lineage: Eukaryota; Metazoa; Chordata; Actinopteri; Clupeiformes; Engraulidae
Exons: 3
Source: RefSeq, a predicted model, not a curated record